Molecule: ribosomal RNA, 1322 nt
Filed under: Escherichia coli
Lineage: Bacteria; Pseudomonadati; Pseudomonadota; Gammaproteobacteria; Enterobacterales; Enterobacteriaceae
Description: partial 23S ribosomal RNA
Rfam family: Bacterial large subunit ribosomal RNA
Source: RNAcentral
AAUCGUACCCCAAACCGACACAGGUGGUCAGGUAGAGAAUACCAAGGCGCUUGAGAGAACUCGGGUGAAGGAACUAGGCAAAAUGGUGCCGUAACUUCGGGAGAAGGCACGCUGAUAUGUAGGUGAAGCGACUUGCUCGUGGAGCUGAAAUCAGUCGAAGAUACCAGCUGGCUGCAACUGUUUAUUAAAAACACAGCACUGUGCAAACACGAAAGUGGACGUAUACGGUGUGACGCCUGCCCGGUGCCGGAAGGUUAAUUGAUGGGGUUAGCGGUAACGCGAAGCUCUUGAUCGAAGCCCCGGUAAACGGCGGCCGUAACUAUAACGGUCCUAAGGUAGCGAAAUUCCUUGUCGGGUAAGUUCCGACCUGCACGAAUGGCGUAAUGAUGGCCAGGCUGUCUCCACCCGAGACUCAGUGAAAUUGAACUCGCUGUGAAGAUGCAGUGUACCCGCGGCAAGACGGAAAGACCCCGUGAACCUUUACUAUAGCUUGACACUGAACAUUGAGCCUUGAUGUGUAGGAUAGGUGGGAGGCUUUGAAGUGUGGACGCCAGUCUGCAUGGAGCCGACCUUGAAAUACCACCCUUUAAUGUUUGAUGUUCUAACGUAGGCCCCUUAUCGGGGUUGCGGACAGUGUCUGGUGGGUAGUUUGACUGGGGCGGUCUCCUCCUAAAGAGUAACGGAGGAGCACGAAGGUUGGCUAAUCCUGGUCGGACAUCAGGAGGUUAGUGCAAUGGCAUAAGCCAGCUUGACUGCGAGCGUGACGGCGCGAGCAGGUGCGAAAGCAGGUCAUAGUGAUCCGGUGGUUCUGAAUGGAAGGGCCAUCGCUCAACGGAUAAAAGGUACUCCGGGGAUAACAGGCUGAUACCGCCCAAGAGUUCAUAUCGACGGCGGUGUUUGGCACCUCGAUGUCGGCUCAUCACAUCCUGGGGCUGAAGUAGGUCCCAAGGGUAUGGCUGUUCGCCAUUUAAAGUGGUACGCGAGCUGGGUUUAGAACGUCGUGAGACAGUUCGGUCCCUAUCUGCCGUGGGCGCUGGAGAACUGAGGGGGGCUGCUCCUAGUACGAGAGGACCGGAGUGGACGCAUCACUGGUGUUCGGGUUGUCAUGCCAAUGGCACUGCCCGGUAGCUAAAUGCGGAAGAGAUAAGUGCUGAAAGCAUCUAAGCACGAAACUUGCCCCGAGAUGAGUUCUCCCUGACCCUUUAAGGGUCCUGAAGGAACGUUGAAGACGACGACGUUGAUAGGCCGGGUGUGUAAGCGCAGCGAUGCGUUGAGCUAACCGGUACUAAUGAACCGUGAGGCUUAACCUUACAACGCCGAAG